Molecule: ribosomal RNA, 407 nt
Filed under: uncultured bacterium
Lineage: Bacteria
Description: bacterial SSU rRNA
Rfam family: Bacterial small subunit ribosomal RNA
Source: RNAcentral
UGGGGGAUAUUGCGCAAUGGGGGGAACCCUGACGCAGCAACGCCGCGUGAAGGAAGAAGGUCUUCGGAUUGUAAACUUUUGUCUUAUGGGACGAAGAAAGUGACGGUACCAUAGGAGGAAGCCACGGCUAACUACGUGCCAGCAGCCGCGGUAAUACGUAGGUGGCAAGCGUUGUCCGGAAUUACUGGGUGUAAAGGGCGUGUAGGCGGGUCGUUAAGUCAGAUGUGAAAUACCCGGGCUCAACUUGGGUGCUGCAUUUGAAACUGACGAUCUUGAGUGCAGGAGAGGAAAGCGGAAUUCCUAGUGUAGCGGUGAAAUGCGUAGAUAUUAGGAGGAACACCAGUGGCGAAGGCGGCUUUCUGGACUGUAACUGACGCUGAGGCGCGAAAGCGUGGGGAGCAAACAGG